Molecule: ribosomal RNA, 253 nt
Filed under: uncultured bacterium
Lineage: Bacteria
Description: partial 16S ribosomal RNA
Rfam family: Bacterial small subunit ribosomal RNA
Source: RNAcentral
GACGUAGGGGGCGAGCGUUGUCCGGAUUUAUUGGGCGUAAAGAGCGUGUAGGCGGCUAGGUAGGUCCGUUGUGAAAACUCGAGGCUCAACCUCGAGACGUCGAUGGAAACCAUCUAGCUAGAGUCCGGAAGAGGAGAGUGGAAUUCCUGGUGUAGCGGUGAAAUGCGCAGAUAUCAGGAGGAACACCAAUGGCGAAGGCAGCACUCUGGGACGAUACUGACGCUGAGACGCGAAAGCGUGGGGAGCAAACAGG